GAUGAACGCUAGCUACAGGCUUAACACAUGCAAGUCGAGGGGAAACGAUAGAGAAAGCUUGCUUUUUCUAGGCGUCGACCGGCGCACGGGUGAGUAACGCGUAUCCAACCUGCCCAUCACUUGGGGAUAACCUUGCGAAAGUAAGACUAAUACCCAAUGACGUCUCUAGAAGACAUCUGAAAGGGAUUAAAGAUUUAUCGGUGAUGGAUGGGGAUGCGUCUGAUUAGCUUGUUGGCGGGGUAACGGCCCACCAAGGCGACGAUCAGUAGGGGUUCUGGGAGGAAGGCCCCCCACAUUGGAACUGAGACACGGUCCAAACUCCUACGGGAGGCAGCAGUGAGGAAUAUUGGUCAAUGGACGAGAGUCUGAACCAGCCAAGUAGCGUGCAGGAUGACGGCCCUAUGGGUUGUAAACUGCUUUUAUAAGGGAAUAAAGUGAGAGUCGUGACUCUUUUUGCAUGUACCUUAUGAAUAAGGACCGGCUAAUUCCGUGCCAGCCGCCGCCGUAA
Molecule: ribosomal RNA, 508 nt
Filed under: uncultured bacterium
Lineage: Bacteria
Description: partial 16S ribosomal RNA
Rfam family: Bacterial small subunit ribosomal RNA
Source: RNAcentral